UCGUAGGCAGCAAGCGUUGUUCGGAAUUACUGGGCGUAAAGAGUGUGUAGGCGGUGCUCCAAGUCUGGUGUGAAAUCUCCCGGCUUAACUGGGAGGGUGCAUUAGAAACUGGAAUGCUAGAGGAUGGGAGAGGUAAGCGGAAUUCCUGGUGUAGCGGUGAAAUGCGUAGAUAUCAGGAGGAACACCUGUGGUGUAGACAGCUUACUGGACCAUUUCUGACGCUGAGACACGAAAGCGUGGGUAGCAAACAGGAUUAGAUACCCUGGUAGUCCACGCCCUAAACGAUGCAUACUUGGUGUGAGCGAUUCAUUUCGUUCGUGCCGGAGCUAACGCGUUAAGUAUGCCGCCUGGGGAGUACGGUCGCAAGGCUG
This 371-nucleotide ribosomal RNA is filed under the name uncultured organism. RNAcentral describes it as "bacterial SSU rRNA". It matches the Rfam family "Bacterial small subunit ribosomal RNA", at positions 525 to 896 of the family's 1533-position model. The record is from RNAcentral.